CUCUGUGACUGGCUUGCUUGAUGGUUAGGGUCUGAUCGCUGCCUGAGACACCAUAUCGGUACUCCUCAGAGUUGAUGCAGAGUGUUCAUAUGAGGAGAGACUUUCCCUUGUCUCCGUCAUCUGUGAUUUCACUUCCCUGACAGAAGACGAAGCUUCCAUCUCAGAUGUUUUCUUAAAUGAUGAAACAGCAUACGCCUCUGUUCUUGUCAGCUCAGGGAAAACAGAUCUGGGGACCUCUUCAUCUCUGCGUUGGGAAGCAUAGGUGGUAUAAUCCCCUCCUGUCACGUCCAACGUUGCAUAGUCAGAAGCUUCGCCCUUGUAGUUGGUGCACACAGCACGGUGAUCACAGGAUCUGGUUUGCCACUGAAAGGAAUCUUGAUGCUGACCACUUCACCUCGGAGAGCAUGAACUGCUCCCAUGCCUUCAAGAGUUUUAGGAUGGCAUCAACUGUUCCAAAAACAUUGCUGAGCUGGACUUUGUAUUUCCCAGCAUGAGUCUUACGUUGGACAUUCUUCAUGACAAGUGGGUAACCAGGAUGGAACUGCGGUGUUGCUUGCAGGAGAAGCUUACUACUGGUUUCUACUUCUCCAACCUCAUUGGUGGCUAUGCAGGCACUGUCUCCAGACUGUCUAUAUUCAACCCAGUAUCCAAGAAUUUCUUUACCACCAUCACAUUCAGGUUUCUCCCACUGUAGAGUGACACUAUCUUUGGAUAUUGAAAGAAUCUCAAGUUCUCCUGGUUGG
This 743-nucleotide long non-coding RNA is filed under the name Homo sapiens (human). RNAcentral's name for it is "TTN antisense RNA 1". The record is from RNAcentral. Lineage: Eukaryota; Metazoa; Chordata; Mammalia; Primates; Hominidae.